Molecule: ribosomal RNA, 355 nt
Filed under: Photorhabdus sp.
Lineage: Bacteria; Pseudomonadati; Pseudomonadota; Gammaproteobacteria; Enterobacterales; Morganellaceae
Description: bacterial SSU rRNA
Rfam family: Bacterial small subunit ribosomal RNA
Source: RNAcentral
GAGGGCGGGGGAUAACCACUGGAAACGGUGGCUAAUACCGCAUAAUGUCGCGAGACCAAAGUGGGGGACCUGAAAGGGCCUCACGCCGUCGGAUGAACCCAGAUGGGAUUAGCUGGUAGGUAGGGUAACGGCCUACCUAGGCGACGAUCUCUAGCUGGUCUGAGAGGAUGACCAGCCACACUGGGACUGAGACACGGCCCAGACUCCUACGGGAGGCAGCAGUGGGGAAUAUUGCACAAUGGGCGGAAGCCUGAUGCAGCCAUGCCGCGUGUAUGAAGAAGGCCUUCGGGUUGUAAAGUACUUUCAGCGGGGAGGAAGGAUUUAGCCUGAAGAGGGUUAGAUUUUGACGUUACCC